CCUACGUGUGGCAGCAGUGAGGAAUAUUGGUCAAUGGGCGAGAGCCUGAACCAGCCAAGUCGCGUGAGGGAGUACUGCCCUAUAGGUUGUAAACCUCUUUUGUUGGGGAGCAAAAGCCGGACGUGUCCGGCUGUGAGAGUACCCGAAGAAAAAGCAUCGGCUAACUCCGUGCCAGCAGCCGCGGUAAUACGUAGGGGGCAAGCGUUAUCCGGAUUUACUGGGUGUAAAGGGAGCGUAGAAGGCAGCGCACGUCUGGAGUGAAAUCCCAUGGAUUAACCAUGGAACUGCUUUGGAAACUGUGCAGCUGGAGUGCAGGAGAGGUAAGCGGAAUUCCUAGUGUAGCGGUGAAAUGCGUAGAUAUUAGGAGGAACACCAGUGGCGAAGGCGGCUUACUGGACUGUAACUGACGUUGAGGCUCGAAAGCGUGGGGAGCAAACAGGAUUAGAUACCCCAGUAGUC
This 459-nucleotide ribosomal RNA is filed under the name uncultured bacterium. RNAcentral describes it as "partial 16S ribosomal RNA". It matches the Rfam family "Bacterial small subunit ribosomal RNA", at positions 338 to 795 of the family's 1533-position model. The record is from RNAcentral.